CAAAAAGUAGCUUAUUGCAAAGCCUCUCGCUUACACCGAGAAGAUGUCUGAUCAACACAGACCAUUUUGA
RNAcentral lists this transfer RNA (70 nucleotides) under Occidozyga sumatrana. RNAcentral describes it as "tRNA-Val". It matches the Rfam family "tRNA". Rfam says of the family: Transfer RNA (tRNA) molecules are approximately 80 nucleotides in length. Their secondary structure includes four short double-helical elements and three loops (D, anti-codon, and T loops). Lineage: Eukaryota; Metazoa; Chordata; Amphibia; Anura; Dicroglossidae. The record is from RNAcentral.